GAUGACUGCGUUUUGCAGUG
This 20-nucleotide small nuclear RNA is filed under the name Arabidopsis thaliana (thale cress). RNAcentral's name for it is "snRNA_01110". Lineage: Eukaryota; Viridiplantae; Streptophyta; Magnoliopsida; Brassicales; Brassicaceae. The record is from RNAcentral.